RNAcentral lists this long non-coding RNA (246 nucleotides) under Mytilus galloprovincialis (Mediterranean mussel). The record is from RNAcentral. Lineage: Eukaryota; Metazoa; Mollusca; Bivalvia; Mytilida; Mytilidae.
GCGGCUCAAUGAAAUAGGUCUCUUCCUUUGGUAGUAUAGAUAUGCAGGCGUUGCUGUAAUUUUCUACUUAGAAAUGAAAAGUUUACAAUUAGGUAGCUGAAAUCAUCACUUUUGUCGUAAAGUUUGUUCUCAAUUGACCCUCAUCGUCGAUUGUAAAAUAUGUAAUAGAGUUAACUGUAUCUGUUGAGUUUUUUAUUUUCAAUUUCAAUAGAUUUGAUAGACUGUCAAAGCUUUGUUGAAAGGAAC